GCGUUGAUGGUCCAUUGGUACGAUCCUUGCUUGCCAUGCAAGGGAACCGAGUUCGAUUCUCGGUCAACGCA
RNAcentral lists this transfer RNA (71 nucleotides) under Gomphillus americanus. It matches the Rfam family "tRNA". Rfam says of the family: Transfer RNA (tRNA) molecules are approximately 80 nucleotides in length. Their secondary structure includes four short double-helical elements and three loops (D, anti-codon, and T loops). The record is from Rfam by way of RNAcentral. Lineage: Eukaryota; Fungi; Ascomycota; Lecanoromycetes; Ostropales; Graphidaceae.